UACAGAGGGGGCAAGCGUUAUUCGGAAUUAUUGGGCGUAAAGGGCGCGUAGGCGGCUUUGCAAGUGGCGGGUGAAAUCCCUCGGCUUAACCGAGGAACUGCCUGUCAAACUGCAUGGCUUGAGACCAGGAGAGGUGAGUGGAAUUCCCAGUGUAACGGUGAAAUGCGUAGAUAUUGGGAGGAACACCAGUGGCGAAGGCGGCUCACUGGACUGGUACUGACGCUGAUGCGCGAAAGCGUGGGGAGCAAACAGG
This 253-nucleotide ribosomal RNA is filed under the name uncultured bacterium. RNAcentral describes it as "partial 16S ribosomal RNA". It matches the Rfam family "Bacterial small subunit ribosomal RNA", at positions 524 to 776 of the family's 1533-position model. The record is from RNAcentral.